GGAGAGUGGGCCGGACGGUAAGGCACAGGUUUGCUAAACCUGCACCGUGAAUAACGGUGAGUGGGUUCGACUCCCACACUCUCCG
RNAcentral lists this transfer RNA (85 nucleotides) under Candidatus Gottesmanbacteria bacterium RIFCSPLOWO2_01_FULL_43_11b. RNAcentral's name for it is "tRNA-Ser". It matches the Rfam family "tRNA". Rfam says of the family: Transfer RNA (tRNA) molecules are approximately 80 nucleotides in length. Their secondary structure includes four short double-helical elements and three loops (D, anti-codon, and T loops). Further hydrogen bonds mediate the characteristic L-shaped molecular structure. tRNAs have two regions of fundamental functional importance: the anti-codon, which is responsible for specific mRNA codon recognition, and the 3' end, to which the tRNAs corresponding amino acid is attached (by aminoacyl-tRNA synthetases). tRNAs cope with the degeneracy of the genetic code in two manners: having more than one tRNA (with a specific anti-codon) for a particular amino acid; and 'wobble' base-pairing, i.e. permitting non-standard base-pairing at the 3rd anti-codon position. The record is from RNAcentral. RNAcentral also lists the same sequence under 1 other name. Lineage: Bacteria; Candidatus Gottesmaniibacteriota.